GUUAUUAUAGUUGAAUAACAACGGUGGUUUUUCGGACCAUAAGUUCUGGUCAGUGCCAGAUAAUAAUA
Eublepharis macularius is the source of this 68-nucleotide non-coding RNA. NCBI's taxonomy places the organism in Eukaryota, Metazoa, Chordata, Lepidosauria, Squamata, Eublepharidae. The record is from the annotation of a RefSeq genome assembly.